UCUUGAAUAUAAAUUCAUACUACCAGGGGACUACGAACAAUAAUAUAGUUUAAAACCCAAAGAACUUGGCGGUGUUUCAUACUACUUAGGGGAACCUGUUUCAUAAUCGACAAUCCACGAUAAACCUAACCUUAUUUGUAACCAGUAUGUAUACCGUUGUCGUCAGGUAACUUUUAAAAAUACAGAAGUUAGCAACAAAAAAAUUAAUUUUAACGUCAAAUCAAGGUGCAGCCAAUAAUAAGGUGAGAAUGGGUUACAAUUAAAAUUUAUAAUACGAAAUAAAUUAAGAAAUAAAUUUAUGAAGGAGGACUUAAAAGUAAAAAAAUAAAUAUAAAAAUUUUUUGAAUAAAGCUCUGAAACGUGC
RNAcentral lists this ribosomal RNA (364 nucleotides) under Benedictia baicalensis. RNAcentral's name for it is "partial 12S ribosomal RNA". The record is from RNAcentral. Lineage: Eukaryota; Metazoa; Mollusca; Gastropoda; Littorinimorpha; Benedictiidae.